Molecule: long non-coding RNA, 1394 nt
Organism: Acinonyx jubatus (cheetah)
Lineage: Eukaryota; Metazoa; Chordata; Mammalia; Carnivora; Felidae
Exons: 2
Source: RefSeq, a predicted model, not a curated record
UGCCUGCAGUAGAAACACAGUGCACCCGUGUGCACAGGGCCCACUUCCUGGGUGUGUGUCCUGUGUUCAGACGGCACCUGUGUUCAGAAGGGACCUGUGCUUCACUUAAUGUUUUGCUGUUGCCAUCAUGAAAUGCAUAAAACUUUUUGAGCACUGAGUCCCACAUUUUCAUUUUGCACUGGGCCCCACAAAUUACAUCUUGCAAUUACUUGCACUCUACACACACGCUACAAUUUUGCAAACCACCUUGGAUGUGCAGGAACCCCAUGAGGCUAUUCAAAGACUCCUCUGCUUUCCUGGAAGGCUGUGUAUGUGUGUGUGUGUGUGGGUCUGCAGGUGUGUGUGUGUGUGUGUGUGUAGGUCGCAAGUUGUCGGGUAGAGCUGGGCACCCUGGCUGAAAGUAGGGCCAAUGAACGGGAGAAGAAGCAGGGGAUGGCAUCAGUUUCCACAAGGUCUGUGACAGCAACUUCCUCACCUCCGAGAGAGGAAGCCCGGUGCUGGAAUAAACAGCCACAGUCCUAACCCGUGUCCUUACAGACCUGCCACCUGGGGACCUGCACAAGGAGCCUUUGUUGGGCCUCACGAGUAACAGAGCACAAGUGGGGGAAGGACAGAGAGCGAGGGAGACACAGAAUCCAAAGCAGGCUCCAGGCUCCGAGCUGUCAGCACAGAACCCAACGCGGGGCUUGAACCCACAAACCGUGAGAUCAUGACCUGAGCUGAAGUCGGACACUUAACCGACUGAGUCAGCCAGGCGCCCCAGGAUCUUCUUGUUGAAAUCAUCUUAUUGAGGGGCGGCAGGAGAAGGGAGGACAAUGAGAUUCCGUGUCCUUGGCUGGCUGAGAUCUGCCCAGCUCUACAGUCUCUGAGUGCCACGUCAGAUUCCUUCUUAGGUAAUACCUGUAUGUAUGUAUGUGUGUACGCUCUAUGCCCAACAAGGCUUCAACUCACCACCCGAGAUCAAGAGUCACAUGCUCUAUCGACUGAGCCAGCCGGGUGCCCGAAAGGUGAGGUGGGAUUUUCUAAGUCAGAAAUGCGCUCAGAAUGCUGCUUCCUGUGGCCAGCUGGAAGGCCCCCAGACCCACCCGUGAGAGUGGAGACACCCAGGCAAGGGGUGGGCACGAAGACGGCCACACGGCACCCGGAGGACAGAGAGAACACAGAGACCCUCAGCAAUCCUGAGAGGCCUGCUGGGUGGGGGAGGGGCCUUCAUACAAUUCUCCCUCUGAUCUGUCACCUUGGGCAAGUGGCUUAACUUCUCUGUGACUCAGCUUUCCCAUCUGUGAAAUGGGGAUAAUAAUAUUACCCUACCCCCCAGGGUUGUUGUGAGCAUUGAAUUUAGUGGAACGUCCCUCUAACCAAGUAAAAUAAACAGUAGCUGUAGUUAUUACUAU